Molecule: long non-coding RNA, 1056 nt
Filed under: Felis catus (domestic cat)
Lineage: Eukaryota; Metazoa; Chordata; Mammalia; Carnivora; Felidae
Description: lncRNA (ENSFCAG00000052746.1)
Source: RNAcentral
AUGUGGGGGAGCCAUGUGGAGGAACUGCUAGGAGUCAGCUCUCGGGGCUGGGCUGGAUGUGCAGGCCCAACUGAAAUGACAAAUGAAAAUCUAGUCACCGCCUGCCCCCGCACCUCCAGAAAAGGAUCAGUGCUGGGCCUGCAGGCACAGCUGGAUCCAGGUGCUCCAGUAACACCAGCAAGAAAGACUCUCCACUCUGCCUCUGCACGGCUGAGUCUCAGUCCAGCUCCCCUCAAGACAGCCGGUCCUACCAGCCCCAACCAUGAGGCGCUCCCUCUGAGCCAUGCCUGCACCCCCUCUCUGCCCUGCACGGCUCUCCUUCCUAGCACACCUGCCCUGCUACCACCCCCCUGCCACAUCCCGGGAUCUGUCCCCCGAGAUACAAACGGACUCCGGCAUCUCCACCUUCAAACAGCCCACUGGGUCCUCACCAGGGGCACAUUCCAGCCCACAACCUCAGGCCCUGGCCGCGCCCACCACCCUCCCCACCCUAGUGGCCCUGGCUUCCCUGGGCAGCUGCCCCCCCGAUUCCCUCCCACCUCUCAGGUUCCUGGUCCCCAUCUGUCACCAUUAGUCCUUGUCCUGGCCUUUGCCUGUUGCCUGGCACCCCCAGAGACCCCCAUGGCCACAGCCCCAGCCUGGACCUCCCCCUUCAGUGCACAAACCCCCUUUUGUUCACCCUGUGCCAACGCCAGAACCGGGGACCCUUCCGCAUCACCCCCUCACAUCCGGUCCACAACCGGAGAGCCCCUCUGCCUCACCCCCCCACAUCCGGCCCAGAACCAGGGGCCCCUCGGCCCCACAUCCGGUCCGGAACCGGGGAGCCCCUCUGCCUCACCCCCCCCACAUCCGGCCCAGAACGGGGUCCCUCGGCCCCACAUCCGGUCGGUCCAGCCACGACCACCUCCACUCCCCCCUCCAAGGCCACCCCCCGCCCACCUGUGCCUCCCGCCUGUGCCUUGCUCUGGGCCACUUCCGGCCAAGCCGGUCUGCACUGGACGCCAAUUUGCUUUUUAUUCUCAUCCGCCCAUUUUGGCAUCUCUGAGCUAUCGUUGA